This 462-nucleotide ribosomal RNA is filed under the name uncultured bacterium. Its description in RNAcentral is "partial 16S ribosomal RNA". It matches the Rfam family "Bacterial small subunit ribosomal RNA", at positions 28 to 507 of the family's 1533-position model. The record is from RNAcentral.
GACGAACGCUGGCGGCGUGCUUAACACAUGCAAGUCGAGCGGAAAGGCCCUUCGGGGUACUCGAGCGGCGAACGGGUGAGUAACACGUGAGUAACCUGCCCCAGACUUUGGGAUAACCCUCGGAAACGGGGGCUAAUACCGGAUACGACACAGCUUCGCAUGGGGUCUGUGUGGAAAGUUUUUCGGUUUGGGAUGGGCUCGCGGCCUAUCAGCUUGUUGGUGGGGUGAUGGCCUACCAAGGCGACGACGGGUAGCCGGCCUGAGAGGGCGACCGGCCACACUGGGACUGAGACACGGCCCAGACUCCUACGGGAGGCAGCAGUGGGGAAUAUUGCACAAUGGGCGGAAGCCUGAUGCAGCGACGCCGCGUGAGGGAUGACGGCCUUCGGGUUGUAAACCUCUUUCAGCAGGGACGAGGCGUAAGUGACGGUACCUGCAGAAGAAGCGCCGGCCAACUACGUG